CCUACGGGAGGCAGCAGUGAGGAAUCUUGGUCAAUGGGCGCGAGCCUGAACCAGCCAAGUAGCGUGAAGGAUGACUGCCCUACGGGCUGUAAACUUCUUUUAUAAAGGAAUAAAGUGAGGCACGUGUGUCUUUUUGUAUGUACUUUAUGAAUAAGGAUAGGCUAAGUCCGUGCCAGCAGCCGCGGUAAUACGGAGGAUCCGAGCGUUAUCCGGAUUUAUUGGGUUUAAAGGAAGCGUAGAUGGGUUGUUAAGUUAGUUGUGAAAGUUUGCGGCUCAACCGUAAAAUUGCAAUGGAUAAUGGCAGACUUGAGUGCAGUUGAGGUAGGCGGAAUUCCAGGUGUAGCGGUGAAAUGCGUAGAUAGCACGAAGAACUCCGAUUGCGAAGGCAGCUUACUAAACUGCCACUGACAUUGAUGCUCGAAAGUGUGGGUAUCAAACAGGAUUAGAUACCCCUGUAGUC
This 460-nucleotide ribosomal RNA is filed under the name uncultured bacterium. RNAcentral describes it as "partial 16S ribosomal RNA". It matches the Rfam family "Bacterial small subunit ribosomal RNA", at positions 338 to 795 of the family's 1533-position model. The record is from RNAcentral.